GCAGCCCUGUGAUGACCUGGCGACUUGUCCAGGGUGUACCCCGCCUUUCGCCCGUAGUCAGCUGGGAUAGGCUCCAGCUUGCCUGCGACCCUGUAGAAGGAUAAAGCGGCUAGAGAUAAUGAGAUGAGAUGAGAUGAAAUGUGGUGAUUGUGAUAUCUGUUUAUUUCUGUAAUGUCUCACAAAAUAUCAGGCCAUUCUGUGGCUGGGAAGUUAUUUAAUUUGAGGGGAUUAAAGCAAAUAAUGUGCAUGAAAUCGCUCGCUUGGCGCAGUCAAGCAGACAGAGGAAGUCUGUGUGCGCAUGCGCAGGUUUACCUUCUCCUUUUGGGUUUUACGGCAGCUGGCAUCCACAGUGUUGCAUUACUGCCAUCUACAGGUUUCCCUUUGAGCGUGCACUGACAGUUCCAUCAUUCUGUCGCUAAACGAACAGCUGAUCACACCGAGGUGCUCGCUGAGCGCACAUAUUUAUUAGUUUGGUCCUGCGUUUCCUUUCCUUCGUAUAGAACAUAACGUCUUUUCUUCUCGCUUUCUGUUAUUGCAGUUGGUCUUUCACAUUUUAUUUUUACACUCACAACCUCCAUUUUUCUCUCCUGUUUCAAAUUUGUAUCCCACAAUGCCUUGCGUGAACGGGGAAAGCCCACCACGUGGUGCAUGACGUAGUAUCUUGAAUUGGGUCAUGGUGAAGCAGGAAAAAAUAGCGGAGAAUUUAGGGACACGUGGAAAUAGUCAUUAAUUGUUCUAUUAAAAAAAAACUAAUAAAAUUGGAAGUCUGCGAUUCAAAUUCAGUAGCUUUCGGUCACUAAACAAAGAUAACUGGGCAUUGGGAAAAUUCUAUUUAUGACCCUGAAAGGCAGUCUAGCUUUAAACUUAAGAGCGAGAAUAAAGAGAGACUGGUGAGGGAACCACUGUUUAUAGCUGCUAUAAUGUAAGUAAGAACAGGAAGUAACUUGUCUCACAGACAUUUCAUAACAUUAAAUGUAACUAUUAAUGAAGAAAAAUAGGACGCAUCCUUCUUAAUUUUAAUUGUUUGCAAAUUGCUGUGGUAUCAGAGAAACAAACCACUCCAGGAUCUGCUGUUAUAAAAUAUCUUGAGGGGACGGUAAAGUUUUUGUUUUAUUUUUUUACUGAUUGUAUUACGUGUUUUUCUUUAUGCAGGGAAUCUUGGUACUCAAAAACUAAGGGUUUUGUUUAUUCAAUUUUUCUCUGCAUUACUGCAUUAAACUUCAUCUUCUUCAUCAUCAUCAUCAUCAACUUGAGCUUCACUAUAAUACGGCAGAAACUUCAGAACUUACAGAGGAGUAACACCGAUAAUCAAAAACUCAUACUAUGUGUGAUGUUUAAAAGCCUGGCCCAGUUUUUUAUCCUCGGCUGCCCUUGGAUUCUUUUAGUUUUCUCCAACGAUUAUAGAUCAUCAUAUGUCUGGAUGUUCUUCGCUAGCCAGCAGGGCACCUUCAUCUUCCUGGUCCACUGUCUCUUCAACCAAGAGGUCAGGCAGCAGUACAGGAAGUACCUGGAUGCUUUUUGCUGCGCCAACAAACGUAACACCGCUACAGCAGAUGAGCAGCGACUCAGGGGACAACAUGAACGUCCACAGGGCUGUUCCUCCCAGGGUUACAUUGUCAGUGAUUAGCUGAGCUUUUUCAUAUUUUUGAUGCACAUGUUUUUUUGGUUUAGAACUUUUAUUGCUCUUUUAAUUCAUAUAUAUCUUCUUUUUGAUUUUGGUUUUCUGCAUUGUAAACAAAGAGCAACUUUAAUUUUCUUAUAACUUUACUAAAAUGUCAAUCUGUUAAAAGAUCGAAUCAGGUUAGGAUCAGGAUGUGUGAGGUAUGGAUAUGGAUAUGGACUUGUCAGGUCAGGCAUCAUUUAAUCUGCCAGCAUUUCUGUCUUUUUUGUAAAUAUUUUUAACAUAACAUUUAGAAACAUUACCACAAUAACGCAUCACAUAACAGAGCAAAGCAUUAUUACUGCAAAUGUUUUUAGAAUAUUGCAGAAACGUUAUUUAACAAUUUUUUGCCAAAGGUGAAGUUAAUGUCAGUGAAUAAUAAGUGAGACGAAGUCGAGGUCGAGAUUAUUCUUCACCAAUAUUCACUGAGCCUGAGGCAGAUAAUUGUUUUAGUAUAAUUACACAGGUGAUUAUUUUUUUUAAAAAAUCAUUCAUUUCAAACUUCAAAAGUGGCAUGCAAAUAUGAUAAUGGCACGGCGUAGAUUUGUGUCGCUUCUCUACGCCGAGUCACAUAAAAUCCUUUGUUUUGAAAUCGAUAAAAUAAAUCACAAUCCCACCUUACCUUUGAAUAGUUUCAGACUAAAUUUCUGAGCAAUUUUAGUGUGACGAAGUGAUCAGCCGCCAUUUUGCCGAGUCGCUCGAGGUGAUUAUUGAGAAAUAGUCAGAAUCUCUCAACCAAUCAGAGCACGCGAUUUUCUAUAAUCACCUGUGUAUUUAUACUAAUUUUAGUUACAACGAUAGUUUUUGAAGGACAUGUCAAAUGCGUCUGGACUAGGUUUAGAUUUAGGUAGAGAAUUAUUUAAAAUCAACACCAGGAUUACUGGCACCAUUCAAACAAGUCUAUGAAAUCUAUUUCCACUGAGACAAAUAAUUUCAGAAGAACUGUGUGUGUGUGUGUGUGUGUGUGUGUGUAGAUCAGUUUCUCUCCUCUUCAAUAAAAUGGUAAAUGCAGAUCUGAGAAGAUAAAAGUGAAUAAAUAGAAAAUGUACAUAAUAAUAAUAAUGAUCUUGUUGAGUUGUAAAUGUAUCUACUGCCCCCUGUUGUCCAUCUGCAGCAUUUACACUUCUGUUACUCGAAUCCUCAUAAAUAUCUGUCUCAUCAAGGUUCUCUGUAUAAUAUGCAGGUUGUAACUUGUAAUAAAGUGUUUUAAUUGUGUAUCCCACUUGCACUAAGAUUUUAACCUUAGGCGCCUCAUACUCAUGGGCGGAGUUUGCCUCUUGAGGUUUCUUCCUCAUGUCGUCUGAGGGAGUUUUUCCUUGCCACCGUCACCACAGGCGUGCUCAUUGGGGAUAGAUUAGGGAUAAAAUUAGCUCAUGUUUUAAGUCGUUCAAAUUCUGUAGAGCUGCUUUGCGACAAUGUUUAUUGUUAAAAGCGCUAUACAAAUAAACUUGACUUGACACUCAAGUUGAAUUGAAAAUUGACAACAUAACCAUAGAAAGAGUUUAUGAAAUAAAAUUUCUGGGUGUGAUUGUUGAUCAUAAAGUCUGCUGGAAACCGCAUAUUAAUCAUGUUAAAGCAAAAAUAGCAAAGAUUACUGCAAUUUUGGGGAAAUCAAGACACAUUCUGGACUAUAAAUCACUACAUACUCUGUAUAAUGCACUCAUACUUCCAUAUCUGAGCUACUGUGUGGAGAUAUGGGGUAAUACCUACAAAUCUAACCUGCAGCCGUUAUGCACGUUACAAAAAAGAGCAAUAAGAAUCGUCAAUAAUACGGGAUAUCUUGAGCAUACAAACGCAUUAUUUGUAAAAGCACACACUCUGAAAUUCACGGAUCUGGUUAAACACAAGACUGCACAAAUUAUGUACAAAGCAAGACAUAACCUUCUUCCGGGUGAGGUACAAAAUACGUUUAUGGAAAGGCAGGGUGGGUAUAACCUGAGAGGGGAAAUGAAUUUUAAGAGAGUAAAUGUUAGAACAACUCUGAAAAGUAUGCGCAGAACAGUCUGUGGGGUGAAAUUGUGGAAUGGUCUGGAAAAUGAACUCAAAAAUAGCACCAACAUAAAACUGUUUAAAAAAUUAUAUAAAAACAUGUUAAUAAAAAUAUAUGAGAAUGAGGACAGGCAGACUAUAUAGGUGAUGAUGAAAUUGAGAGUAAGUCUGUGACUGGUCUUCUUGUAUUUAGUGUAUAGUUAUAGGUAUGUGUAUAUGUAUGUACUGUAUAUAUGUAUUGUAUGUGUGUCUAUAUGCAUAACAUAAGUAUCUGUAUAUAUGACUUGAUUUGGUCGAUAUUGUACCAUGUCGGUAUGUUUUGGUAUGUUGGUAUGUUUUCUUUUUUGUUUAUUGGUUUUGUUUUCUUUUGUAUAUAUAGUUUAUUAUGGUGGAAAGUGACAUUUGAUUAGCGGUGGUACAGAGGGUUAGGAUUGGAUAAGUUAUUACUUCUUCCUAAUCCUUUCUGAACAUUGUUAUGUUAUUGCCUUGUGGCUACGCUAUUCUGUUUGUUUAUGAUGAUGUUUUGAUUAUUGUAUUUUUUAUUUAAAUUUUUAUAUCUUCUUUAUUGUUCAGAAUAAAGUAAUCAAUCAAUCA
This is a long non-coding RNA of Neoarius graeffei (lesser salmon catfish), 4243 nucleotides long. RefSeq lists it as uncharacterized. NCBI's taxonomy places the organism in Eukaryota, Metazoa, Chordata, Actinopteri, Siluriformes, Ariidae. The transcript has 3 exons. The record is from RefSeq and is a predicted model, not a curated record.